Molecule: ribosomal RNA, 494 nt
Filed under: uncultured bacterium
Lineage: Bacteria
Description: bacterial SSU rRNA
Rfam family: Bacterial small subunit ribosomal RNA
Source: RNAcentral
AAAUGAAUAGACGGGGGCCCGCACAAGCGGAGGAACAUGUGGUUUAAUUCGAUGAUACGCGAGGAACCUUACCCGGGCUCAAACGUUGGGGGAAUAAUUUGGAAACAGAUUAGCUAGCAAUAGCCGCCAACGAGGUGCUGCAUGGUUGUCGUCAGCUCGUGCCGUGAGGUGUCGGCUUAAGUGCCAUAACGAGCGCAACCCUUAUCAAUAGUUACUAACAGGUCAAGCUGAGGACUCAAUUGAGACUGCCGGCGCAAGCCGCGAGGAAGGUGGGGAUGACGUCAAAUCAGCACGGCCCUUACGUCCGGGGCGACACACGUGUUACAAUGGUAUGAACAAAGGGAAGCCACGUAGCAAUACGGCGCCGAUCCCCAAAUCAUAUCUCAGUUCGGAUCGGAGUCUGCAACUCGACUCCGUGAAGCUGGAUUCGCUAGUAAUCGCGCAUCAGCCAUGGCGCGGUGAAUACGUUCCCGGGCCUUGUACACACCGCCCGU